Molecule: long non-coding RNA, 452 nt
Organism: Drosophila pseudoobscura
Lineage: Eukaryota; Metazoa; Arthropoda; Insecta; Diptera; Drosophilidae
Exons: 2
Source: RefSeq, a predicted model, not a curated record
AGCGGCGUCUGCCGGAGGAGAGCCAUACUCACUUAGUAUCGGGUAUAACUGUAGAGUUGCGCUGUCCGCAGCAACUCACAACGUUCCCCCUCGUUAUUGCUCGUUUUGUAUAAUCUUCUUUAACAUGCUUUUCUUUUUACAGACUCCUACUAUAUCACAUUGAACCAAGUGAUUUUUGUUAGGCCCCUGCAAAUCGCGAAAUUGUAUGGAAUACAUAAUUCUGAAAUUCUGGUACCUCGCAUUCGCAAAUGUAAUUUUUAGCGAUGAAAAAAAUUUAAUUUGGGCCGUAUUCAGAUGGCCAUCAUAAAUAUUGGAGAGUUGCGCGUCAUCCACGGGCAACUUGUUACAUGCACAUGUAGUGCACAUAUUAUUAUUUACCUAAGCGAUUCGCAAACAGGUGUUGACAUAACUUAAUGUGUAAUUUCUAUGAUUGUAUAUUGAUAUAUGUACAU